UGGUUGGAAACAAGUGCAUUAACACCAAUCACCGUCAGGAAAUAGGUGAAGGUAACCUCCAACAGGUUCUCCAACGAACAACGAAGGCCUCUUACGGUUUUACCACCUCGUUUCAACAAGCAAAUCAAAGUGAAGCAUUCUAACGAACGAGCGAACACUUUUCCGUCCCUAUAACCGAGAACGACAACUCGCAAACAGCAACAACGACAACACUAAUCGCCUUCUCAAGUGUUUUUUCGCUUCGAUUCGUGUCCUUCGACUCAACAGUUGUUCAAUCAUCUCGCGUUCGACGACGUUGCCCCAGUAAAAUUGUUGUGCACAAGCUAGCCCCUCGGACGACCCAGAAACAGCUUUGACAGUAAUUUGAUAACAGUGAUAAGGAGGCGUCGCGACGCCGCAUAUUCGAGAUAGGUUGUCAGAAAAUUUUGCAAGUCAUUAUUAACAAUCGUCAUUGUAGAGUACCAGCACGUUUCAAGUAUUAUAUUUAAAGAUCUUUAUUUGCCAAAUUAAUAAACAAUAUUUGUAUAGUUCUAGUUGAAAACGGAGCGUAUUAACCGAAGUUUGGUUCGUGAAAUACAAAUUGUAGUAGGAGAUUAAAUUGUAAGCAUAAAAUUAUCUAACUUGAAUUCAAUUACUAACAUGCCAAUAAAUUGCAGUUUGAGCUUGAAGCAAUAUAAAACCGGCGUUAUUCUUGCUGAAAAACUCCAGGAUCAAUUUCACGAACAAACUCAAAAAUUUAUCCAGAAGUACCAUGGCUUCCAACCAGCAUCAGCGGCAAACCCGAUCGCAGACUAAGGCAAUUCGAGAGGCAAUGAAAGCUAACCUACAAAUUGCAUCGUCCCACGCCUCUGAGAAUUGCGGUAUACUCUUCGAGGCUACUUUCGUUGAGGCAAAUCGAGGUCACGAGCGGGACUGUAUUUCUUGCGAUCAACGGAAUGAUGCUGAUAAAUUCAUGGUUCAGUGUAUGGGUUGCCAAGGAUGGGAACAUUUCAAGUGUGCCGGUGUAACUACUGCCAACGCCCACGAGAUAGCGUAUCGGUGCGUGAUGUGCAGGCCCCGGAUCCCUCCACCAGCACCUAGUUCAAUCACGGCUGAAUCCACAGCUAGCAGCUCUCGUCGAGCUCGUAUAGCUCGUGAUUUGGAACGGUUGGAAGAAGAGCGGAAGCUGCACGAAACAGCAGCCAAGGCGCAGAUGGAUCGAGAUAAAACUUAUCUAAACAAAAAAUAUAAACUGCUUGAACAGCAGGAUGAAGAGAAUGAAAGAGAUAGUGCUCGGAGUAAACGCAGUAGUCAAGCCGGAUCCUGCCGGGUAACAGAUUGGGUUAAGGAUCAGUCAAGAACCGUUGAAAGAUCCAACCGGGACGUCGUUACAAUGCCGUCAGAAUCUGCCAAGGCCAUUGAUUCCGGGAGAGCAGUUGAACCUACGCUAGUGAGCCAGCUUGGUGGCCCUCAAACGUCGACCCCAUUAACAAAACCCAUCGAAAGUGAGGAGAAAACUCCCGCAGCAGUUGUUCUUGAUCUGGCUAGUUGGAUUGUGGAUUUAGAUCGCACAUCCCUGCAACGAACAACCGGCAGUAUUUCCGUAGGAGAGUGUCAGGACAAUGAGUCUGCUGCUACCGACGAUGCCGCUAGAAUCCCGUUAGUUGACAUACAACCUUUUCUACGUCUUCUAAAGGAUGUGGAAUCCAACGAUCAAAGAACUGGAGCCUAUCCGAAGCCAUCCCAACCUACAUUCGACAAGUGGCGGCUUGAAAUCGACAACCUUCGUCGUGUACAAAAUUUACAACAACAACAUGCCCAGGAAAACGAUAUUCGUCGAAAGCGUGAAAUCGAAUUGAUGCAGCAGUUGAAGUUAGUUGAACAACAACGACGCGCGGAUGCGGAGGAAAUGCAGAAACGGGAAGCGGAGUAUCGUAGGCAAAUACGAUCUCAGGAAGAAGAGCGUAUCGAACAUCGGAAGCAAACAGAGAGAGCGCUGGAAGAGCGUGAUCGUGAAUUGAGUCGAUUGCGUCUUGUUGAACAGCAACUUAUGAGUCGGCUAAAUCAAUUUUCUCAACCCAACAAGACUUUAUCACCGGAAAUGAACAUCGGACCUGUGUAUUACCAGAAUUGUCAACCAGCGGCAGGUAACAAUACCCUCCCCCAAAACGAUGCACCAUCGGUAAGUGAAUUAUUUACACAACAUAAUCCCUUUGAAAAACCUAUCAAUGCAUCGAUGUAUGAAAAUAUAAGCACACCCAUCGGGAGAAGAACCCCCUGUUACGAUUUCCCUGAAGUUACACCACCCAUGCUACCUCAGCAACCACCAUAUCCUCCCACUCCAGUUGCCCCUAUUGUGAAUCCAUCGUAUGAAACAAACCACGUUCGUGACCACCUUUCCGGGCCAACAUCGCAGCAGUUAGCAGCCCGCCACGUGGGGAGGAAAGAACUUCCUGUGUUUAGCGGAGAUCCUGUGGAUUGGCCGCUCUUUUAUAGUAGCUAUCAGCACUCCACCGAAUUAUGCGGUUUUUCAAAUUCGGAAAAUCUUCUUCGCCUGCAACAGAGUUUGAGAGGAAAUGCUAAAGAAGCCGUGAGCAGUUUCCUGUUGCACCCUUCGACGGUUCCGGAAGUAAUCGAGACGCUUAAAACUUUAUUUGGUCGACCGGAACAGAUCGUACAUCACAUGGUCAACAAGGUACGCAGUACUCCAGCCCCGAAAGAACACCGAUUAGACAUGCUGAUGAAUUUUGGAUUAGUUGUACAAAACAUGUGUAGCCAUCUUAAAGCCGUAGGAUUGCAGAACCAUUUAUCUGACCCUACUCUGCUCAAGGAACUCGUAGAUAAAUUACCACCUACAGCUCAAUUCAACUGGGCGUUGUAUCAGACGCAGUUCCCGCUCGUAGAUCUUAAUGUAUUCUCCAAAUACAUGCAAUACAUAACUACCGCCACCAGCCGCUUAGUAAUGAACGGCGGAAUCAACAAUGCAACAUCAAGAAGCAAGGGAAGAGAAUUUGUUCACACGCACGCUGAAAUCGUCGAUGACUCGGAACAACCCGAAUCGAGUCAAACAGAACAGCUGAACCAUGUUGCACUGAAACCAUGCGUCGCGUGUCAAAAAUUCGCUCACCCAUUAGAAAAAUGUUUCAAGUUCCAAAAUAUGAGUACAGAUGAACGUUGGAAGCUAAUUAAACAAAACAAUAAGCUCUGUAGACGCUGUCUUGUGGCCCAUAGUAGGUGGCCGUGUAAAGGAGAAGUUUGCGGGAUAAACGACUGUUCGAAGAAACAUCAUCGUUUAUUACAUUUCGAUCCACAAGAGAGUACAUCUGCGAGACAACAUGCCACCGUGUCUAUACAUCGUGAGGUUACAUCAUCUAUUCUCUUUCGCUUGCUACCGGUAACGCUUUUUGGUAGCAAAGGCAAUGUGCAAACCUUUGCAUUUUUGGACGACGGAUCUUCUGUCACGAUGUUAGAGGAAUCGCUAGCAGACGAACUAGGUGGCGACGGAAUUACAACGUCGCUUUGCAUCCAGUGGACUGGGGGAGUAAACAAGAACAUCUCUAAUACUCGAAUUAUGGAAUUUGAGAUAGCUGAAACUAGCGACGCUAGGCGUCAUAAACUAUCAGAAGUAUACACUGUUGAGAGUCUUGAUCUACCUGAACAAAGUUUGCAUUUCGACAGAAUGUCUCAAGAAUAUCCACAUCUACAAGGUUUACCAGUAACAAGCUAUGAAUCUGCAGUGCCGAGACUACUCAUCGGACUAAAUAAUGCUCAUUUGAUUAUGCCAUUGAAAGCCAGAGAAGGCAGACAGGGUGAGCCAGUUGCUACCAAAACACGGAUUGGGUGGUCAAUCUUCGGUCGUGUACCACGAAGAGCGAAUACGUUGCCCCAUCACCAGUUACACAUCUGUGCUACAAAAUCUGAUGACAAUUUACACGAAUUUGUUAAAAACUUCUUCUCGAUCGAAAGUUUGGGCAUACGAGCUGCCCCAGAGUUGCAGACCCUUGAAGACCAACGAGCUUAUAAAAUAUUAUCUGAGACAACAAAACGAACAUCAAGUGGCCGAUUCGAGGUUAGUUUAUUAUGGAAAUAUAAUUACAUUGAAUUCCCCGACAGUCGACCGAUGGCUGAGAAACGCUGGAAAUGUUUGGAGAGAAGACUUACGAAAAAUCCUGCCCUGUAUGACAAAAUUCGUCAACAGAUUGCAGAUUAUCAGCUUAAAGGUUAUGCGCAUAAAGCCACCCAGGCCGAAUUUGAAAGUUUCGAUCUUCGCCGUACGUGGUUUUUACCCAUGGGGGUAGUGCUGAACCCAAAAAAGCCUGAGAAGGUGCGGCUAAUAUGGGACGCAGCUGCUAAGGUCGAUGGUGUAUCAUUAAACAGCAUGCUCAUGAAAGGUCCCGAUCUUCUAACAUCUCUUUUAUCUAUACUUUUUCGGUAUCGAGAGCGUGAAGUAGCCAUUGCAGCGGAUAUUAGAGAGAUGUUUCACCAGAUAUUGGUGCGCCCUGAAGAUCGUAGUGCCCAGUUGUUUCUAUGGCGAGAUUCUCCGGACAAACCCUUGGACAUCAUGGUGAUGGAUGUGGCCAUCUUUGGUGCUACGUGCUCGCCUGCACAUGCACAGUUCGUGAAAAAUCUAAAUGCGGCAGAAUAUCAACGAGAUUAUCCGAGAGCAGCGGACGCAAUCACACGGUGGCAUUACGUAGACGACUACGUACAAUGCGUUGACACGGUCGAGGAAGCGGUGGAGUUAGCCUUGCAGGUGACAGAAGUCCAUUCUAAAGGUAAAUUUGAAAUUGUUAAUUGGAUUUCAAAUCGCAAUGAAGUUCUACAACAAAUCGGUGCCAACAACCCAACAGUUGUUAAGAACAUGCAGUUUGGUGAUGAGUCAGAAGGCCAACGUUUGUUAGGGAUGAUUUGGCAACCAUCCUCUGAUGUGUUCUCUUUUCCAGUACAAUUUAGCAAAGAGAUUGCAGAUUUAAUUAAUUGUGAAACUGUUCCAACAAAACGGCAGUUAUUGAAGCUAGUUAUGAGUUUGUAUGAUCCCUUGGGUCUAAUUUCUGCUUUUACGAUCCACGGAAAAAUAAUUAUUCAGGAGGUGUGGCGAGAGAAAGUUGCAUGGGACGAUAAAAUACCUGAAGAGAUUUUCACCAAAUGGAAACUGUGGCUCAGUGCAUUACCUGGUAUAGAAUGUUUAAAGAUUAAACGAUGUUACUUUCCCGGAUACACAAAAAACACGUAUGACAACGUUCAGCUGCACAUAUUUGUCGACGCGAGUGAGCAGGCGUAUGCAGCUGUAGCCUAUUUGCGAGUCGUAGAAGAUAAUAAGGUUCGAUGUGCUCUGGUAUCCUCGAAAACAAAGGUUGCACCGUUAAAGAUUUUAUCUAUUCCUCGUCUUGAGCUGCUUGCGGCCUUGAUAGGAGCUCGACUGAGAAAGGUUAUAGAAGAGGAACACACCCUCACUAUCCAUGAAGUCCUUUUCUGGAGUGACUCAACUACAGUACUGUCAUGGAUACGGUCAGAUAUGCGUCGCUAUAACCGAUUUGUAGCUCAUCGAAUCAAUGAGAUACUUGAAUUAUCCAAAAUUGAAGAAUGGAGAUGGGUCCCCACACGCCUUAAUGUCGCUGAUGAGGCUACGAAGUGGGGAAAAGGACCUUCGUUUGACGCUGAAAGUCGAUGGUAUAAGGCACCGGAAUUCCUCUACGAGCUGGAUGAAAACGAAUGGCCGAAAGAUCGUAUCGUCUACGCUGAAGUUAGUAAAGAAGAGUUACGCAUCGAUAGUGUCCAUGCUCAUGUGGCACGAGUUCCUAUAAUCGACAUCAACCGCUUUUCUAAGUGGGAACGCCUUCUGCGCGUGACGGGCUACGUUCAUUACUUUGAAGACUGUUAUUUGAAGAAGUUUCUGGGCAAGCAGAUCAACACUAUUGGUAUGAAUAGCGAUCACUUGAAGAGGGCUGAGCGUGCAUUGUGGAGAAUUGCACAAAAUGAUUCCUUUCCGAAAGAGGUAGAUAUACUCCGACAUAAUAAUCAAACGAGCGUUCCGAACAGGAGAAAGAUUUCAAAAUCUAGUUCCAUAUCUUCCAUGGGCCCAACUAUCGACGAGUUUGGUGUGAUUCGCGUAGAUGGUCGAAUGCAGGCGGCUGAUUGGAUGGAAUAUGAUGCUAAGUACCCGAUCAUCCUACCCAGAGAUCAUAGGAUCACUUACCUUGUACUGGAUUGGUAUCAUCGAAAUUAUGGGCACGCGAAUGAUGAAACUGUCGUCAAUGAGCUUAGGCAACGAUUCAGAAUACCGAGACUACGAGUCGAGUUGAAGAAAGUCAAAAAAGCAUGUCAAUGGUGUAAAGUCUACAAAGCGUCACCUGUAGCGCCGAAAAUGGGUCCGCUCCCACGCGUAAGACUCACACCGUUUGUACGUCCAUUCACCUUUACCGGAAUCGACUACUUUGGACCAUAUCUGAUUAAAAUAGGAAGAAAAGCGGUCAAACGAUGGGUAGUGCUCUUCACCUGUUUGACUUUGAGAGCGGUUCACCUCGAAGUUGCUGCCAACAUGUCAUCCGAUUCAUGCAAAAAAGCUAUCCGUAGAUUUGUCGCACGUAGAGGAGCUCCUGAGGAGAUUUACACGGACAACGGAACAAAUUUCCUAGGCGUUAGUCGUGAACUUAGAACGGAACUGAAAGCGAUCAACAACGAGCUGGGUAGUACAUUCACCGACACCAGAACCCAAUGGUAUUUCAUACCACCAGCGGCACCCCACAUGGGCGGAUGUUGGGAACGGAUGGUCCGAUCCGUAAAAACUGCUUUGAAAUCGGUCCCUACGGUUGAUAAAUUCGAUGAAGAAUCCUUCCUAACGGUUCUAAUUGAAGCUGAACAUAUGAUAAAUUCUAGACCGCUGACAUUCAUCCCUAUUAGGUCGGAAAACGAGGAAUCUUUAACCCCCAACCAUUUUUUGAUGUUGGGGUCCAAAGGAGUACGGCAGGGUGUUAAAAGGCCUAUCCUGAAGGGAACGGUUAUAAGGUGUAGCUGGGACCUUAUUCAACGAGUUUUGCAAAUCUUUUGGCAGCGAUGGGUGGUGGAAUAUUUGCCGACCAUUACAAGACGAACAAAGUGGUUUGAAGAUGUUCGUCCAAUCAAUGAUGGGGAGUUAGUAGUAAUUGCCGAUGAGGGUGCGCGUAACCGAUGGAUCAGGGGUCGAGUGAUUAAGAUGUAUCCAGGAAAGGACGGUGUAUCCCGGAUGGCAGAUAUACAGAUAAGCGGUGGAGUUUUGAGUCGUCCUUGUACUAAACUUGCGCUUUUGGAUGUAAAGUGAACAUGACGCCGAACGGAACGUUCUUUCGACAUGCGGGGGAGGAUGUUGUGCACAAGCUAGCCCCUCGGACGACCCAGAAACAGCUUUGACAGUAAUUUGAUAACAGUGAUAAGGAGGCGUCGCGACGCCGCAUAUUCGAGAUAGGUUGUCAGAAAAUUUUGCAAGUCAUUAUUAACAAUCGUCAUUGUAGAGUACCAGCACGUUUCAAGUAUUAUAUUUAAAGAUCUUUAUUUGCCAAAUUAAUAAACAAUAUUUGUAUAGUUCUAGUUGAAAACGGAGCGUAUUAACCGAAGUUUGGUUCGUGAAAUACAAAUUGUAGUAGGAGAUUAAAUUUUUGAGCUUGAAGCAAUAUAAAACCGGCGUUAUUCUUGCUGAAAAACUCCAGGAUCAAUUUCACGAACAAAAAUUGUGACAGCAGUCAGUGUUGCCAGUUUUGAUAGCUAAGUUUUUCCGUGCUUUCGAUGCC
Molecule: RNA transcript, 7742 nt
Organism: Uranotaenia lowii
Lineage: Eukaryota; Metazoa; Arthropoda; Insecta; Diptera; Culicidae
Exons: 2
Source: RefSeq, a predicted model, not a curated record